CAAAGGAUCUCGUUGGUGACCAGCGGAGGGUCAUUACCGAGUUUACAACUCCCAAACCCAAUGUGAACGUUACCAAACUGUUGCCUCGGCGGGGUCACGCCCCGGGUGCGUCGCAGCCCCGGAACCAGGCGCCCGCCGGAGGAACCAACCAAACUCUUUCUGUAGUCCCCUCGCGGACGUAUUUCUUACAGCUCUGAGCAAAAAUUCAAAAUGAAUCAAAACUUUCAACAACGGAUCUCUUGGUUCUGGCAUCGAUGAAGAACGCAGCGAAAUGCGAUAAGUAAUGUGAAUUGCAGAAUUCAGUGAAUCAUCGAAUCUUUGAACGCACAUUGCGCCCGCCAGUAUUCUGGCGGGCAUGCCUGUCCGAGCGUCAUUUCAACCCUCGAACCCCUCCGGGGGAUCGGCGUUGGGGAUCGGGACCCCUCACACGGGUGCCGGCCCCGAAAUACAGUGGCGGUCUCGCCGCAGCCUCUCCUGCGCAGUAGUUUGCACAACUCGCACCGGGAGCGCGGCGCGUCCACGUCCGUAAAACACCCAACUUUCUGAAAUGUUGACCUCGGAUCAGGUAGGAAUACCCGCUGAACUUAAGCAUAUCAAUAAGCGGAGGA
Molecule: ribosomal RNA, 608 nt
Filed under: Trichoderma asperellum
Lineage: Eukaryota; Fungi; Ascomycota; Sordariomycetes; Hypocreales; Hypocreaceae
Description: eukaryotic LSU rRNA
Rfam family: 5.8S ribosomal RNA (bases 220-373)
Source: RNAcentral